GGGUGAAGGUAACCGCGGUACGGGUAACCUGCCCUUAAGUCUGGGAUACCAUUUGGAAACAGAUGCUAAUACCGGAUAAAAGCUACUUUCGCAUGAAAGAAGUUUAAAAGGCGGCGUAAGCUGUCGCUAAAGGAUGGACCUGCGAUGCAUUAGCUAGUUGGUAAGGUAACGGCUUACCAAGGCGAUGAUGCAUAGCCGAGUUGAGAGACUGAUCGGCCACAUUGGGACUGAGACACGGCCCAAACUCCUACGGGAGGCAGCAGUU
This 265-nucleotide ribosomal RNA is filed under the name uncultured Lactobacillus sp. Its description in RNAcentral is "partial 16S ribosomal RNA". It matches the Rfam family "Bacterial small subunit ribosomal RNA", at positions 100 to 355 of the family's 1533-position model. Lineage: Bacteria; Bacillati; Bacillota; Bacilli; Lactobacillales; Lactobacillaceae. The record is from RNAcentral.